RNAcentral lists this ribosomal RNA (232 nucleotides) under uncultured bacterium. RNAcentral's name for it is "partial 16S ribosomal RNA". It matches the Rfam family "Bacterial small subunit ribosomal RNA", at positions 104 to 334 of the family's 1533-position model. The record is from RNAcentral.
CGGGGUGAGUAACGCGUGGAUAACCUGCCUCACACUGGGGGAUAACAGUUAGAAAUGACUGCUAGUACCGCAUAAGCGCACAGUACCGCAUGGUACGGUGUGAAAAACUCCGGUGGUGUGAGAUGGAUCCGCGUCUGAUUAGCCAGUUGGCGGGGUAACGGCCCACCAAAGCGACGAUCAGUAGCCGACCUGAGAGGGUGACCGGCCACAUUGGGACUGAGACACGGCCCAA